RNAcentral lists this ribosomal RNA (757 nucleotides) under uncultured Bacillota bacterium. RNAcentral describes it as "bacterial SSU rRNA". It matches the Rfam family "Bacterial small subunit ribosomal RNA", at positions 114 to 904 of the family's 1533-position model. The record is from RNAcentral. Lineage: Bacteria; Bacillati; Bacillota.
CACGUAGGAACCCACCCCUUGGACCGGGAUAACAGAGAGAAAUUUCUGCUAAUACCGGAUAUAUUCUUCGGAAGGAAAUGGUCCGCCGCCGAGGGAGGGGCCUGCGGCGUAUUAGCUUGUUGGUGAGGUAACGGCUCACCAAGGCUAUGAUACGUAGCUGGUCUGAGAGGAUGAUCAGCCAGACUGGGACUGCGACACGGCCCAGACUCCUACGGGAGGCAGCAGUUCAGAAUCUUGCACAAUGGACGAAAGUCUGAUGCAGCCAUGCCGCGUGUGCGAAGAAGGCCCUCGGGUCGUAAAGCACUGUCAGGAGGGAAGAUAAUGACGGUACCUCCAGAGGAAGCAACGGCUAAUUACGUGCCAGCAGCCGCGGUAAUACGUAAGUUGCGAGCGUUAUCCGGAAUCACUGGGCGUAAAGCGUUCGUAGGCGGCGUGGUAAGUCAGAUUUGAAAUCCCGGGGCUCAACUCCGGAUCCGGAUCCGAAACUAUCAUGCUUGAGUGUAUCAGAGGGUAGCGGAAUUCCCGGUGUAGCGGUAAUAUGCGUAGAUAUCGGGAGGAACACCAGUGGCGAAGGCGGCUACCUGGGGUACUACUGACGCUGAGGAACGAAAGCUAGGGGAGCGAACGGGAUUAGAUACCCCGGUAGUCCUAGCCGUAAACGAUGUCUACUAGCCGUUGGGGUACUUGAGACCUUAGUGGCGCAGCUAACGCACUAAGUAGACCGCCUGGGGAGUACGGCCGCAAGGUUAAAACUCAA